Molecule: transfer RNA, 81 nt
Filed under: Deinococcus cellulosilyticus NBRC 106333 = KACC 11606
Lineage: Bacteria; Thermotogati; Deinococcota; Deinococci; Deinococcales; Deinococcaceae
Description: tRNA-Ser
Source: RNAcentral
UUGUGCACCUGCUGCAGACCGGCAGCAUGCAACUGGAAUUUGCUUCACACCACGCUGCAGUUCGACACCGCAGCAUGCAGG